This is a long non-coding RNA of Alosa sapidissima (American shad), 402 nucleotides long. RefSeq lists it as uncharacterized. The record is from RefSeq and is a predicted model, not a curated record. The transcript has 3 exons. Lineage: Eukaryota; Metazoa; Chordata; Actinopteri; Clupeiformes; Clupeidae.
AAGGCUGGUAGAGCUCUCUAUGAGUGUGAGCUGUGGGAGAACCAAUAACUGACAACCACCUACAGAAGAGGUGGCGAUAAUGGCUCUCCAAGAGGAGGUUGUGAGUCUGAAGGCUUUUAUUCAACAAGGAGGCACUUAGAGGGAAUGCCUGGACCCUGAGAGGACUAAGACAAUUGAGGCCACCCUGAAGCAGUUCCCAGGCCAGACACUCACUCCAGAUUGCUGGGCCAGGCAAUAAAUGCCAAAGUGACAGAACUGAGGUUCCAUAACAAAAACAAAGAUUUUCAAUAAAAUAGAAUAAAAGAUAACAGAAGUGUUGUGUGUUUCUUCCUCUUUAUACUGAUACUAUGGUUAAUUUUAAGUAAACACAAGUGAAAUAUUUAAUGAUCAAUGCGGAAAAUA